UUGGUCCUACGGGGGGCAGCAGUGGGGAAUAUUGCGCAAUGGACGAAAGUCUGACGCAGCGACGCCGCGUGAGGGAUGAAGGUUUUCGGAUCGUAAACCUCUGUCAGGAGGGAAGAAAGCGCAUGGCGCCAAUCAGCCAUGCGUUGACGGUACCUCCAAAGGAAGCGCCGGCUAACUCCGUGCCAGCAGCCGCGGUAAUACGGAGGAUGCGAGCGUUAUCCGGAUUUAUUGGGUUUAAAGGGUGCGCAGGCGGGAGAUCAAGUCAGCGGUAAAAUGUCGGGGCUCAACCCCGGCCGGCCGUUGAA
This 305-nucleotide ribosomal RNA is filed under the name uncultured bacterium. Its description in RNAcentral is "bacterial SSU rRNA". It matches the Rfam family "Bacterial small subunit ribosomal RNA", at positions 333 to 631 of the family's 1533-position model. The record is from RNAcentral.